UUUUUUUUUUUUUUUGUAAGAUAGAUAGAAAAGAGAGAACUUUGGGUUUUGAAAUCCGUUUUAACCAUCUCAAAGGCUGAAUUUCUCCUCAGCCAGCAGGCUUUCUCUUCCACCACUAAUCCACAAAUCAAAACUCUUUGAAAUCUCUUUUUUUUUGAAUCAUAGAUUUUUUUUAAUACUUUUUCUAGUGGAUAGUAUUGAGGGGCCCAGAUUUAAGAUAGAAAGACGAAGAAGUGUUUAUGAAAUGGGAGAUGAGAAGAUGAACAAACAAUACUGGAAGAGUGGCUCUGAUACCACUUGAUACGCCAUAAAAGGAUCACUCGACCGGAUUGGAAGGGAUAUGAACUCCGAAGGAGAACUGAUGGAAUGAUGGGUCGCACAAAGGUUGCGGAAUGGCCUUUCAUAUUCCCGAACCAGUUUGUUGCCGGAUGUGAUGCACCGGUCCA
RNAcentral lists this long non-coding RNA (446 nucleotides) under Brassica napus (rape). RNAcentral describes it as "long non-coding RNA (BNAP_LNC024030)". The record is from RNAcentral. Lineage: Eukaryota; Viridiplantae; Streptophyta; Magnoliopsida; Brassicales; Brassicaceae.